Molecule: ribosomal RNA, 362 nt
Filed under: uncultured bacterium
Lineage: Bacteria
Description: partial 16S ribosomal RNA
Rfam family: Bacterial small subunit ribosomal RNA
Source: RNAcentral
CCUACGGGGGGCAGCAGUGAGGAAUUUUGGUCAAUGGGUGAGAGCCUGAACCAGCCAAGUCGCGUGAAGGAUGAAGGAUCUAUGGUUUGUAAACUUCUUUUAUAUGGGAAUAAAGUGAGGAACGUGUUCCUUUUUGUAUGUACCAUAUGAAUAAGCAUCGGCUAACUCCGUGCCAGCAGCCGCGGUAAUACGGAGGAGGCGAGGGUUAUCCGGAUUUAUUGGGUUAAAAGGGUGCGUAGGUGGUUAAUUAAGUCAGCGGUGAAAGUUUGUGGCUCAACCAUAAAAUUGCCGUUGAAACUGGUUGACUUGAGAUGUCGAGAGGUAUGCGGAAUGCGCAGUGUAGCGGUGAAAUGCUUAGAUAU